RNAcentral lists this long non-coding RNA (561 nucleotides) under Ananas comosus (pineapple). RNAcentral describes it as "long non-coding RNA (ACOM_LNC018370)". Lineage: Eukaryota; Viridiplantae; Streptophyta; Magnoliopsida; Poales; Bromeliaceae. The record is from RNAcentral.
GAAAUGCAGGAAACCAGAUAUUUAUGCAUCCAACACUACAACAUAAUUAAGUUAUAAGGAUAUAUAUUUGGGACAUUUUUGUGUGUCCUAUUUAUGUCAAAACUUUUUAAAAAAAUCUAUUAAGGCCUAAAUAUAAACCUCAAUCAAACCAAAAGUAAGAGGUUACUCUACUCAACCCACCCUACCCAGCCCAUUUAGCCCAAUUGCAAACAGAAAAGAAAAAAAAAAAAUCGAUCACCAUCUCCCCCUUCUCCUCUUACUCAAUUCACUGAAACCUUAGACGAAGAGCUCUUCGCUUUCCUUCUCUUUCGCCAUCGCAGCCAACGAGUUAGAGUUCCGACGGCUGCUAAAUGCUUAAAUAAGUGUUGGUAAAUUAACAACAUUCUUUUUAGAUUAUACCGACACUCUUAAACUGUCACUAUAUACCUAGCGACCCCACAUAUAACAACACUUUUUAAAAGUAUCAGUAAUUUAGCCAGCAGUACUUUUUUGACCUGUACCGAUAUUUAAAAGUGUCGCUAUAUAUCGUUUUUGUUGUAGUGCAAAGAAGAUCUUAAGUCC